This 283-nucleotide ribosomal RNA is filed under the name Blastocystis sp. subtype 5. Its description in RNAcentral is "partial small subunit ribosomal RNA". It matches the Rfam family "Eukaryotic small subunit ribosomal RNA", at positions 58 to 348 of the family's 1831-position model. The record is from RNAcentral. Lineage: Eukaryota; Bigyra; Opalinata; Blastocystidae.
UGUAAGUAUAAAUAAUUUUACUUUGAAACUGCGAAUGGCUCAUUAUAUCAGUUAUAGUUUAUUAGAAAUAUUUUACUACUUGGAUAACCGUAGUAAUUCUAGGGCUAAUACAUGAGUAAAACCUCAACUUCGGAAGAGGUGUGUUUAUUAGUAUGAAAACCAUAUAUCUUCGGAUAUAAUAGUGAGUAAUAAUAACCUUUCAUAUCGUAUGUCGUAAGAUAACGAUAGUUCUUUCAAGUUUCUGCCCUAUCAGCUUUCGAUGGUAGUAUAUGGGACUACCAUG